UACAGAUCUUUCACAUAUAGA
This 21-nucleotide non-coding RNA is filed under the name Caenorhabditis elegans. Lineage: Eukaryota; Metazoa; Nematoda; Chromadorea; Rhabditida; Rhabditidae. The record is from RNAcentral.